AGUCGAACGAACUCUUCGGAGUUAGUGGCGGACGGGUGAGUAACACGUGGGAACGUGCCUUUAGGUUCGGAAUAACUCAGGGAAACUUGUGCUAAUACCGAAUGUGCCCUUCGGGGGAAAGAUUUAUCGCCUUUAGAGCGGCCCGCGUCUGAUUAGCUAGUUGGUGGGGUAAUGGCCCACCAAGGCUACGAUCAGUAGCUGGUCUGAGAGGAUGACCAGCCACAUUGGGACUGAGACACGGCCCAAACUCCUACGGGAGGCAGCAGUGGGGAAUCUUGCGCAAUGGGCGAAAGCCUGACGCAGCCAUGCCGCGUGUAUGAUGAAGGUCUUAGGAUUGUAAAAUACUUUCACCGGUGAAGAUAAUGACUGUAGCCGGAGAAGAAGCCCCGGCUAACUUCGUGCCAGCAGCCGCGGUAAUACGAAGGGGGCUAGCGUUGCUCGGAAUUACUGGGCGUAAAGGGAGCGUAGGCGGACAUUUAAGUCAGAGGUGAAAUCCCGGAGCUUAACUUCGGAACUGCCUUUGAUACUGGGUGUCUUGAGUGUGAGAGAGGUAUGUGGAACUCCGAGUGUAGAGGUGAAAUUCGUAGAUAUUCGGAAGAACACCAGUGGCGAAGGCGACAUACUGGCUCAUUACUGACGCUGAGGCUCGAAAGCGUGGGGAGCAAACAGGAUUAGAUACCCUGGUAGUCCACGCCGUAAACGAUGAUUGCUAGUUGUCGGGAAGCUUGCUUCUCGGUGACGCAGCUAACGCA
RNAcentral lists this ribosomal RNA (752 nucleotides) under uncultured bacterium. RNAcentral's name for it is "bacterial SSU rRNA". It matches the Rfam family "Bacterial small subunit ribosomal RNA", at positions 60 to 859 of the family's 1533-position model. The record is from RNAcentral.